CCUACGGGAGGCUGCAGUAGGGAAUCUUCCACAAUGGGCGCAAGCCUGAUGGAGCAACACCGCGUGAGUGAAGAAGGGUUUCGGCUCGUAAAGCUCUGUUGUUGGAGAAGAACGUGCGUGAGAGUAACUGUUCACGCAGUGACGGUAUCCAACCAGAAAGUCACGGCUAACUACGUGCCAGCAGCCGCGGUAAUACGUAGGUGGCAAGCGUUAUCCGGAUUUAUUGGGCGUAAAGCGAGCGCAGGCGGUUGGUUAGGUCUGAUGUGAAAGCCUUCGGCUUAACCGAAGAAGUGCAUCGGAAACCGGGCAACUUGAGAGCAGAAGAGGACAGUGGAACUCAAUGUGUAGCGGUGGAAUGCGUAGAGAUAUGGAAGAACACCAGUGGCGAAGGCGGCUGUCUGGUCUGCAACUGACGCUGAGGCUCGAAAGCAUGGGUAGCGAACAGGAUUAGAUACCCCAGUAGUC
RNAcentral lists this ribosomal RNA (465 nucleotides) under uncultured bacterium. RNAcentral describes it as "partial 16S ribosomal RNA". It matches the Rfam family "Bacterial small subunit ribosomal RNA", at positions 338 to 795 of the family's 1533-position model. The record is from RNAcentral.